This is a non-coding RNA of Candidatus Burkholderia verschuerenii, 134 nucleotides long. Lineage: Bacteria; Pseudomonadati; Pseudomonadota; Betaproteobacteria; Burkholderiales; Burkholderiaceae. The record is from Rfam.
CCUGCUAUACGACCAGCAGUUGCCUACCUGAACGUGCGCGACCGGUAACGGUCGGGUUCGAAGCUUCGGGGACAACGUACCCUCCUUAUGGGCGACUCAUCCGGGCGACCGGAAAGGAGCCGACACUGCCAGCA